Molecule: ribosomal RNA, 253 nt
Filed under: uncultured bacterium
Lineage: Bacteria
Description: partial 16S ribosomal RNA
Rfam family: Bacterial small subunit ribosomal RNA
Source: RNAcentral
UACGGGGGGGGCAAGCGUUGUUCGGAAUUACUGGGCGUAAAGGGCUCGUAGGUGGCCAACUAAGUCAGACGUGAAAUCCCUCGGCUUAACCGGGGAACUGCGUCUGAUACUGGAUGGCUAGAGUUUGGGAGAGGGAUGCGGAAUUCCAGGUGUAGCGGUGAAAUGCGUAGAUAUCUGGAGGAACACCGGUGGCGAAGGCGGCAUCCUGGACCAACACUGACGCUGAGGAGCGAAAGUGCGGGGAGCAAACAGG